CAGCCUGGGUGUAGAAUGAGUGUAUCUAGUAAGGGACACACAGUGACAAGUGUUUGGUUUUUUUUAAUGAUCAGGAAACUGUGUGGGGACAACGGAUAGAAGACAGAAGGCGUUCGUUGGACGGCGAGGAAGUUGUCUGACAUCCAGGAAGCAGGCAGACGCCUGGUCAGGAAGGCUAGAGGAGCGGCAAGGAGACGUGCAGCCGACAGCAGCCCCGCAUGGGGACAGAGCAGGGAGGAGGCCUGAGGUUCAGCUGCGCGAAGCGAGGCCCGCCAGACCCUAACGGACGGGAGCCGGGCCUCCUUGGGGACCGCGAGCUCAGGAAAGAUGGCACGUUCGUGUCUGCAGUGCUUUGGAGAGGCAGACGCAUUCAUCCAGUCAAUCAACAAACGCCGCUGCCGACUGCUCAGCGGGCACCCGAGCAGGAGGCGGGACUGAACUGUGACCCGCUCUCAUCAAAGCCUCCCUCAGGGUCCCAGGGCUGCGAACAUCAGGUAGGUGUGGAGCGAGCGGGACGGCUGACUCUGCCUCUCACGUGCCCUGUGUCUC
Molecule: long non-coding RNA, 549 nt
Filed under: Sus scrofa (pig)
Lineage: Eukaryota; Metazoa; Chordata; Mammalia; Artiodactyla; Suidae
Description: lncRNA (ENSSSCG00070005945.1)
Source: RNAcentral